UGUUGUAGGAAAGGGACUGAAACUUUUAGGAGGCUUUUGAGCCCACUAAGGUCCCUGUAGGAUGGGAAAAACAGAUGUGUGCCCUUGUGUGCUGGAAGUUACUGGAAGUCCUGAGGGCUAAGGCAGGAAGAAAGUGAGAAGACAACCCAGUGGGGUUUUGAUCCCAAUCAUGGCUAGCCACAGAAAUCCAUUAUACAGUGUGAGAACACAGCAGUGGGCGGAACCCGUCCCCAGCUCCAUGGCAAUAAAAGCCACGUUUUUGCACGGAGGAUCAUCUGGCCACGCCUCUUCCUGUGGCAGCACAAAAUCAAACACGUGUACAGAAACAUGUGGUUCUGCAGCCCUGCUGCCCAUGGCAUGUGGACUGCUGUGCUAGAACCAAUGUCCUUUCAAGCCCCUGAGCCUCCCUGUUUAAUUAAACCGGAGAAGACGCUGGAAGGGAUGCUGUCUGUCCUGUAACAGCCUUUCUGUCCUGUAACAGCGUGCCACAGUAAUGGCAUAAGCAAGGGACGAGACAGAGUGAGGGGCCGCAGCAAUUCAGAGCAUGGACGCCAUGUGGCUGGAGACGGGAGGAAGGAGCCCCCUGUGAGCGGCGUGGAUAGAGCCGACUCAUGAGACCUGGCCUGUGACAGCCGUAGUAAUGACGAGGCUGGAACCACUGUGGAUGGCCUCACAGAAAAGGGUAAGUGCAGGGUCAGCCGCAGUGAGGACAGCCCAUGUACACAGGCACGUACGACAGAAUCCAGUGUGAGUCAGAGGCCCCUGGGAGUUUUCCGUGUGGCAACCCACAGCCCACUAAGUCCUCCAGGGAACCAAGAAACAGGUGUCCUUACUGAAAUCCAGACUGCCCUCAGGUACCGCGGAGGCCAUUCCCUGGGCUCAUACAACGUCUGGCCACGGAUGAAGCCAUGUAAGCCGGAAAGCAGCCAAGGCUUCUGGCAUUCCUGUGAAAUGUCCUGAUGCUCUGUACGCAGUCCAGGCAUGUGAGGGAGGUCUGCUCCCGAUUACAGCCGCCGUAAACAGAAGACAGAGGCGAAUGUGAGAAUCUGCGUGUCCGGUUACAGCACUGGUACAGGACCCCUGUCUGUAAGUGGGACAUGAAGAUGCGCCCUGUGUGGGUACUGCAUAGCCCCCUGGAAGCACUUCCAUGCCAGCAGGCAACAGAUGGUUCCUGUCGCUCAGCCAUCCCAGUCCUACCCCUCCACACACAGCUCCACAAUGGCUGGAAUGCAGGGGACUCAGUGUAAGGGACCAGGCAGACAGCUGUGGACCCCUCAGUCCAAGGACCAGCGCCCUUCUCCUCACGCCACGGCCAUGUCAGAGGAGCAGCAGAUGGCAGUUGACUUCAGGGCGUCAGCCCAUCAAGAGUCGAAUCCCUGAUGGGUGAAUCUCCUCCGACAGACAAGGCCCCGAGACCACAGACCCCGGAAUGCCUUUUGCUUCUGCUCUGCCCUCGCAUGUUUGCGGCUGCCAUCUUUCUCCGGGAUCUGGCGCGGUGUGGAUGGGUGUGGGGAGCAGAGCUGGCUGUUUUUCAUGUAUA
Molecule: non-coding RNA, 1540 nt
Organism: Peromyscus maniculatus bairdii (prairie deer mouse)
Lineage: Eukaryota; Metazoa; Chordata; Mammalia; Rodentia; Cricetidae
Source: RefSeq, a predicted model, not a curated record